This 519-nucleotide ribosomal RNA is filed under the name Travisia sanrikuensis. Its description in RNAcentral is "partial 16S ribosomal RNA". It matches the Rfam family "Bacterial large subunit ribosomal RNA", at positions 1817 to 2597 of the family's 2925-position model. Lineage: Eukaryota; Metazoa; Annelida; Polychaeta; Opheliidae. The record is from RNAcentral.
UGCCUUUUGUCUAAAUAUAUAAAAGGUUCAUCCUGCCCAGUGACAAAUUUUUUGUUCAACGGCCGCGGUACCCUGACCGUGCAAAGGUAGCAUAAUCAUUCGCCUUUUAAUUGAAGGCUAGUAUGAAUGGAUAAACGAAGGCCCAUCUGUCUCUAAAGUAAUAAUCAUAAAUUAUCCUUCAGGUGAAGAGACCUGAAUAUAAAAAAAGGACAAGAAGACCCUGUUGAGCUUUAUUUUUAUUUAUUAAUUUACAACAGCUUUUAAGUACACACUAUUAAUAUACAAAAUUCAGUUGGGGCGACUAGGGAACAUUUAAAACUUCCCUUUAAUUCUAAGAUUACCAAAUCUUUAUUCUGAUCCAAACAACUUGAUCAAAGAAUCGAGCUACCACAGGGAUAACAGGCUAAUCCUCCUUAAGAGCCCAUAUUGACAGGAGGGAUUGGCACCUCGAUGUUGGCUUAGGGCCCCCAAUAAGCGCAGCAGCUUUUAAUGGUAGGUUUGUUCAACCUUUAAAGCCCU